Molecule: ribosomal RNA, 388 nt
Filed under: uncultured bacterium
Lineage: Bacteria
Description: bacterial SSU rRNA
Rfam family: Bacterial small subunit ribosomal RNA
Source: RNAcentral
GAUGAACGCUAGCGGCAGGCUUAAUACAUGCAAGUCGAGGGGCAACAGGGGUAGCAAUACCUGCUGGCGACCGGCAAACGGGUGCGGAACACGUACAGAACCUUCCUUUAAGCGGGGGAUAGCCCAUAGAAAUGUGGAUUAAUACCCCAUAGUAAUAUUUGGUGGCAUCAUUAGAUAUUUAAAGAUUUAUCACUUAAAGAUGGCUGUGCGGCUGAUUAGGUAGUUGGUUGGGGUAACGGCCCACCAAGCCAGCGAUCAGUAACUGGUGUGAGAGCACGACCAGUCACACGGGCACUGAGACACGGGCCCGACUCCUACGGGAGGCAGCAGUAAGGAAUAUUGGUCAAUGGACGCAAGUCUGAACCAGCCAUGCCGCGUGAAGGAUAGA